This is a long non-coding RNA of Amphimedon queenslandica, 776 nucleotides long. RefSeq lists it as uncharacterized. The record is from RefSeq and is a predicted model, not a curated record. Lineage: Eukaryota; Metazoa; Porifera; Demospongiae; Haplosclerida; Niphatidae. The transcript is spliced from 3 exons.
CUUAUUUAGUGUUUUUAAACAUUACUAAGAAUAGUGAUCUAAGUCCAACAUGUGGUCAAGCAAUUUGUUGCCAAAAAUUAAGACUCUCUACUUGAGGUAAAACGUCACAACAAUGGUCUAACCACAAGUUGCCUAGUGUACAGUAUGUCUACAUAUUCCCUAUGUUGGGCUUUAAACCAUUGAUCUGUAUCAGAACAAUUAGGAAUUUUCAUUCAUUUUUGUCAUUAUUAUUGACUCAAAUAUUUUUUUCAUAAAUUUUUUUUCUGUUUCUCUCAGGCUAAAGAAAACUUCUGUAGAUGAAACAUCGUCAGAAGAAUCAUCUGGUGGCAGUCCAAUGGCUAAUGUAAUGGCAUCCAUAGGUAUUGGACAGGUCAAACUGAGAAAAGCUAAGGUAGAAUAAAAAACCUUUAGCUCCUGCUGAUCAAAUUGCUAGUAUGAUUGCAUCAAUAAGAAGUGGUAAAGUCGUUUUAAGGAAAGUACAGAAAGAAACAAAGGUAUGAUUACAGAAUUUUUAGAUGACGCAAACAAUGUAAUGAAUGAAAUGGCAAAACAAAUAGUAAGUUAUGCACAUGCAUAGCACAUGUAUACCACUAAUAAUACAUCAUAUUUAAAUUGUACAAAGUACAUGUACAUGUAUGUAAUACCAGUAUAAUGUACAAUGUACACAUUAAUAUUAACUUAAAGGCUGCUGGGCCAAGGAGAGGUAGGACUCCACCAUCAAGAAAAGAUAUUCAAGAAAACAAAUCAGCAAAAAAUGAGCUGCUGGCAAAAUUGAA